AGCACAGAGCCCUCCGGCCUGAGGGACAGCCGGGUGCCAGGACUGGAAGUGCAACAAGGCUCCGAUUGCUGGUGAGGCUGAGAGAGGCUGUUCCCCUCCAAAACCUCUGUGAUUGCUCUCGAGAGAAAACUUUUCAGCAGAGAACGGAGAUCCAGUGAAACCAGAAUGAUUCAUUGGUGUUCAACCUGAGAAUUUAUUUCUUUUGAUAUGCCCUGUGUAUGGAGGCACCAUGUUGGUUCUGAUUUAUUUUGUGAAAGGAGAGUAGGGGAGAAAAAUCUGCGCUUUUCUGUGGCUUCAGCUCAAGAUGAGAUCAAUGGAAAUUGGUGGAUCUUUAGGACCCCCCCAGAAAUUAUCCAGGACAAGAGGAAGAAGUGUUUCGACCCUCAGGAAUAAAGUGGCUACCAACCUUUGGUGUUAUGACCCCACAAAUGACUGAUACCAGGUUGCUUCAUUCUCAUCCACCACGGGGCAAAGAUCUUCCAAACACUCAGGAAGGCUCUGCAGGAACACUGGGAUCGCAUCUUCCAGAGGAGUUUUGUUGGACCCCUCAGUCCUUUUUCUUUAACUGAGCUGCAGCGCAUGGGAGGAGCUGCAAACACACAGUGACCACAGGGCCUCGCUGCUUUGGGACACUUCAGUUUGCUUGUUGUUAUUUAGAAGAAACUUCACCCAGUCAACCUCGAUGCCCUUGGCUUUUCCUUCUCCUCAAAAAGCCCUUGAGAAAUUUGUCAUUCAAACCAUCACUCUUUGUUUCAGGGUUUAAUAUCCAUCACUGGAACAUCAAAACUCCUCCAGAAAUGCUGGGAAGACCCACAUCAGGAUAACAUGAAAAUGAAACAAUGACAGCUACUGAAUGACAGGACUUAUAUUUUGACCACUUAUUUUUGUUUUCUGCCUUUUAUCCAAGACAGAGGAAAAACUGAGCAGAACAGUGUGAAAACAAACAGCAAAACUCAUCCCUGCAGCCUCAGCCAACUUCUCCUGUGAUCUGGGAAAAAUACCCCAUUGCCCACAUCUUCCCCUGCAGGCUUCCCUCUCUAAUUUACUGCA
Parus major (Great Tit) is the source of this 1050-nucleotide long non-coding RNA. RefSeq lists it as uncharacterized. Lineage: Eukaryota; Metazoa; Chordata; Aves; Passeriformes; Paridae. The record is from RefSeq and is a predicted model, not a curated record. The transcript has 4 exons.